Molecule: transfer RNA, 74 nt
Filed under: Loxodonta africana (African savanna elephant)
Lineage: Eukaryota; Metazoa; Chordata; Mammalia; Proboscidea; Elephantidae
Rfam family: tRNA
About the family: Transfer RNA (tRNA) molecules are approximately 80 nucleotides in length. Their secondary structure includes four short double-helical elements and three loops (D, anti-codon, and T loops).
Source: Rfam by way of RNAcentral
AUCUCAGUGGUGCAAACAGUUAAUACACUUGGCUGCUAACCAAAAGGUUGGUGGUUCAAGUCCACUCAGAGAUA